Molecule: long non-coding RNA, 1263 nt
Organism: Leptinotarsa decemlineata (Colorado potato beetle)
Lineage: Eukaryota; Metazoa; Arthropoda; Insecta; Coleoptera; Chrysomelidae
Source: RefSeq, a predicted model, not a curated record
CAGUUGUUUGCCUAUUUAGAAGUAGGAUAUAUUUCUGCGUGUGAUAAUGUAGAAAAUGGUUCACAUACCUGAGAACAGCAAGGCGUGCAAUUUUUUGUGUCAUUAUUACCAUUCCAAGUGAACUCGUUUACCCAUUUUUGAACAUUCGAACCAUUGUUAAUCACUGACCCUGAUCCACAUGAUGAAGACUCAUCUUCCACUUAUGCAUCCGAAGAUUCAUAUUCCAUUUGUGACAACUUGAAGGCUAAUUUUACAACAACUGAACAUCAAACUAAAUAUAAAUAUGUACAGGAUAAAACAGAGAGGAAACAAAUAAUAGUGAAUAUAAAUACUGAACAAAACGAGCAGCGUUUGGAAAAGAAACAGGAACUGUGACGCCAAAAUCUUUAUUGAGGUUAAAAAUGAAAACAAAUUUUGAAGAUGCAGGGAUAUCCCUUGAUUGAGGAAGGCUUGAACACCAUUGUAGAAUUGCAUCUUACGCAUCGCCACAGAGUUACGGCGGCAAAAGCCUAUAGCUAUCUGAGAGUUGGCUCGUCUACGAAAGAUCAAUUUUUAAAGUACUCCAGUGAAGGAUUGACUCCUAGCGAAGCCAAAAAUUUCCAUAAGUCGAAACUAAUGGCUACCACUUCAAGUGAAAAAAUAUAUGAAACUCUUAACAAUGCCCUAGUAAAUCAUAUGAAACGAUCAAUUUAUCAUUUGUAUGAACAAUGGAGGUACGUACACUAAGAGAAAUUUUUUGCAACGAUAGAGAGACUUUUUUACAGCAGCGAAACCGUUAUAGCAAAGUGUUUCUCAGUGUAUUUCUGUUAAGAUUUGUUUCCAAUUAUAAAAUUAUGAAAAAAGAACAAGCAAAAUCGUUUUUGAAAAGCUGAUGGAGAAAAAGGCACAUUUUGAAGAGAAUGGAACAAGACGUUUACAAGCGGAGAGCCGUUUUGCUAUGUUGUGGUAACGCCCUUAAUUCUAAGAAAAUCGAAACUAUUGAAAAUAUUGAGUUGUUUGCUAAUAUCUGCACAAGCAUUUGUAAUUUAAAAAAAAAACGAGAAAGAUAACAGUCCAACCUACUUCUAUUGCACGCCGGGCAAAUAGAAGUUUACAUGCCUCCGUUAGAGCAAUAUAGGCAGGUAGGCCUUCAAAGUUGGAAGUUUUAAGAAACAAAAAGAAGAAAUCAAAAAAAGAUGAGAUCAUUAAGUGAAAAUAUUGAGCUUGGUAAACCAAAUGCUAUCAACCAUGGAUGUAAACAUUAAAAUGUGCUACCUGUAUAAA